RNAcentral lists this ribosomal RNA (84 nucleotides) under Geum triflorum. RNAcentral describes it as "partial 5.8S ribosomal RNA". It matches the Rfam family "5.8S ribosomal RNA", at positions 1 to 77 of the family's 154-position model. From Rfam's summary of the family: 5.8S ribosomal RNA (5.8S rRNA) is a component of the large subunit of the eukaryotic ribosome. It is transcribed by RNA polymerase I as part of the 45S precursor that also contains 18S and 28S rRNA. Functionally, it is thought that 5.8S rRNA may be involved in ribosome translocation. The record is from RNAcentral. Lineage: Eukaryota; Viridiplantae; Streptophyta; Magnoliopsida; Rosales; Rosaceae.
UCGGAACGACUCUCGACAACGGAUAUCUUGGCUCUCGCAUCGAUGAAGAACGUAGCGAAAUGCGAUACUUGGUGUGAAUUGCAG